This 301-nucleotide ribosomal RNA is filed under the name uncultured bacterium. Its description in RNAcentral is "partial 16S ribosomal RNA". It matches the Rfam family "Bacterial small subunit ribosomal RNA", at positions 509 to 807 of the family's 1533-position model. The record is from RNAcentral.
CAGCAGCCGCGGGAAUACGAGGGGGGCAAGCGUUGUUCGGAAUUAUUGGGCGUAAAGGGUGCGUAGGCGGUUUGGCAAGUUUGGUGUGAAAUCUUCGGGCUCAACUCGAAGUCUGCAUCGAAAACUGCCGGGCUUGAGUAUGGGAGAGGUGAGUGGAAUUUCCGGUGUAGCGGUGAAAUGCGUAGAUAUCGGAAGGAACACCUGUGGCGAAAGCGGCUCACUGGACCAUAACUGACGCUGAUGCACGAAAGCUAGGGGAGCAAACAGGAUUAGAUACCCCAGUAGUCCCUGUCUCUUAUAC